Molecule: long non-coding RNA, 457 nt
Organism: Lutra lutra (Eurasian river otter)
Lineage: Eukaryota; Metazoa; Chordata; Mammalia; Carnivora; Mustelidae
Exons: 3
Source: RefSeq, a predicted model, not a curated record
AGUCUGACGAAUGUAGGACUCCUAAUUAGUCACCGAGGUCUUUCUCUUGAUCUACUGUAUAAGAAGACUUUAAAGUAGCCAAUUCAGCCCCUGCUUCCAUCCUACAGUAAGACAUGUUGAGAGCUCGUUUGAAGAGAUGUUCUUUAUCCUCGCUGAAACAGGGGCCUCCACACCCUACAUCUGACUGCCGUUCCAUCAGAAGAAGGAAAGGCCAGGAGGUGCCUGACAUCACUGACUUGCCUUUGAUGCCCAUCAGCCAAAAGAUGUUGUUCAUCUCUAAGCAUGAACAAUACAAUGAAGCUGAAUUUUCCAGGCAACCAGAGUGAGUUCUCUGAAGAGGCCACUAACCUAGAUGCUUGCCCUUGUCCUCAUACCUUGAACUCUGCCUCCCAGCUGAGUUGGACAUCCUGUCAGCCCAGGCCCAUCCUCCAUUAGCUGCCCACCCAGGUAGGGGCCC